This 1384-nucleotide ribosomal RNA is filed under the name Salmonella enterica. RNAcentral's name for it is "partial 23S ribosomal RNA". It matches the Rfam family "Bacterial large subunit ribosomal RNA", at positions 1213 to 2579 of the family's 2925-position model. Lineage: Bacteria; Pseudomonadati; Pseudomonadota; Gammaproteobacteria; Enterobacterales; Enterobacteriaceae. The record is from RNAcentral.
CUGAUGCGUUGUUGGGUAGGGGAGCGUUCUGUAAGCCUGUGAAGGUGUGUCGUGAGGCAUGCUGGAGGUAUCAGAAGUGCGAAUGCUGACAUAAGUAACGAUAAAGCGGGUGAAAAGCCCGCUCGCCGGAAGACCAAGGGUUCCUGUCCAACGUUAAUCGGGGCAGGGUGAGUCGACCCCUAAGGCGAGGCCGAAAGGCGUAGUCGAUGGGAAACGGGUUAAUAUUCCCGUACUUGGUGUUACUGCGAAGGGGGGACGGAGAAGGCUAUGUUGGCCGGGCGACGGUUGUCCCGGUUUAAGCGUGUAGGUGUGUGUUCCAGGUAAAUCCGGUUCACUUUAACACUGAGGCGUGAUGACGAGGCACUACGGUGCUGAAGCAACAAAUGCCCUGCUUCCAGGAAAAGCCUCUAAGCAUCAGGUAACAUCAAAUCGUACCCCAAACCGACACAGGUGGUCAGGUAGAGAAUACCAAGGCGCUUGAGAGAACUCGGGUGAAGGAACUAGGCAAAAUGGUGCCGUAACUUCGGGAGAAGGCACGCUGACACGUAGGUGAAGUGAUUUACUCACGGAGCUGAAGUCAGUCGAAGAUACCAGCUGGCUGCAACUGUUUAUUAAAAACACAGCACUGUGCAAACACGAAAGUGGACGUAUACGGUGUGACGCCUGCCCGGUGCCGGAAGGUUAAUUGAUGGGGUCAGCGCAAGCGAAGCUCCUGAUCGAAGCCCCGGUAAACGGCGGCCGUAACUAUAACGGUCCUAAGGUAGCGAAAUUCCUUGUCGGGUAAGUUCCGACCUGCACGAAUGGCGUAAUGAUGGCCAGGCUGUCUCCACCCGAGACUCAGUGAAAUUGAACUCGCUGUGAAGAUGCAGUGUACCCGCGGCAAGACGGAAAGACCCCGUGAACCUUUACUAUAGCUUGACACUGAACAUUGAGCCUUGAUGUGUAGGAUAGGUGGGAGGCUUUGAAGUGUGGACGCCAGUCUGCAUGGAGCCGACCUUGAAAUACCACCCUUUAAUGUUUGAUGUUCUAACGUGGACCCGUAAUCCGGGUUGCGGACAGUGUCUGGUGGGUAGUUUGACUGGGGCGGUCUCCUCCUAAAGAGUAACGGAGGAGCACGAAGGUUGGCUAAUCCUGGUCGGACAUCAGGAGGUUAGUGCAAUGGCAUAAGCCAGCUUGACUGCGAGCGUGACGGCGCGAGCAGGUGCGAAAGCAGGUCAUAGUGAUCCGGUGGUUCUGAAUGGAAGGGCCAUCGCUCAACGGAUAAAAGGUACUCCGGGGAUAACAGGCUGAUACCGCCCAAGAGUUCAUAUCGACGGCGGUGUUUGGCACCUCGAUGUCGGCUCAUCACAUCCUGGGGCUGAAGUAGGUCCCAAGGGUAUGGCUG